CCUCUCAACUCCCUUGUCUCUGCCCCUCUCUCUCUUCCGUCUCACUUCCCAUCUCUCUCAAACCAGCCGGCCGGAGGGCUUGUGGCCGGCGGUGAGGUGCUGCACGCGCUCCAGCUGGUUAUUGGACGAGUGCAGCAGAGUAAGUGUUGCUGAUGGAGCUCAUUUGACUUAAUUUCCUACUGAUUUAACCCAUUUUGAGGGGCUUCAGGUAGUGUCUCGCCUACAUACCAAGUUGGAGAAAGUUAAAAGACGCUUUCAGAUGAGAAUGAUCAUGCUUCUGAUCUUUUGUAAUAUAACUACUGUUGGAUUGAAAAUAGGAUAUUAGUUACAACUACGAAUUUCCCUUAAGGAAUUUACACCUGAUUCUCACUUUACAUAUAUCUUCCUUGGAACCUUUCCAAAAACAAUGUAUUUACGCCUGCUCAAAUAUAUGUAUGUGCACUGCUGAAGUUGAUGAACCGCCAAGUCUUAUUAUUUUCUAUUGGUAUGAUGUGCACUACUAGAGUCAAAAUUCCUUGAGCACAAUAGCAUUUCCAAAAUGCAUAAUACAUAGCCAUGGACUUAACACAUGAAUUUCUUUUGCCAGCUUAUUAACAAAUUUGGCUACAUAUUUUUAUUGGUUCUUCAUAUAUGCUUGCCUGCCGUAGGUGGGCAAGCGAGCGGCAAGCUGCGCCUUAUUCAUGAGCAUCUUUUUUGAUUUGUCUUCCUUUUUUAUGUGUGAUAUCGACAUGUUUUUGCUGCAGACAUGGCUCUUUCCAUUUUUUUAAUUAUAGCAGGGGCGGCAGGGGUUUGGGUGACUCCAAGCAGGUGGAGCAAUAGUGGUUGGGGUCUUCAUGUUCAUCACAGGUUGUUCAAUCCAUUCCCAUAUUUUUAUUUGUGUAACUUAUUUUGUGACUGGUGCGUGCUUAAGAGCAUGUUGCGUGACCAUUUGUGAGAGCAGCAACAACAAUGAAAUUCUUAUCGGUAGAAAGAGAUUGAUAACCUCCAGUUAUCAUAUAUGUCAAUUAUAUGCUUCCUUUCGACUCAUGUAAACAUCUUUAAGCUACUGAAUCAUGUGUUGUAUGGAACACUCAGGAUCGGCUUCGUUGUUGAAUUUAUAGAUUCCCAAGUUAUUACUUGCCAUGAACUAACAUUUUUUACCUUUUAUAUGCAAGGAUUAUUAUUUGCUCCACAAUUUUGAUGGCCUAUAGUUACUCCACAUUGAGGUAGGGAAUAUAUGUAACAAAUGGUUAGUACUGUGUGUGAAACUAAACAUGACAGUGAUUUGCAAUCCAAAACAUUUAUUGAAUGACUUUUAUAUAUGGUUAUUACGAUGCUUUUUGCUUAGAUCCUUUCCUGAGUUUCCUACUGUAUUUUUGAGAGAAAACGGUUGCAUAAUCUUUUAGUUUCGAUGCUCUUCAGCCUUUAAUAGAGGUACCCUCAGUUUUGCAUUGAAUUUUCUUCUAUUUAGGUGUUACGAAUUCAAUUAUUGAUGCUGCAUUAAAUCCUCAUAUUCCUUAGAUUUAUGUAUCUAUGGCGCUUCUAAGCUAGACGAGGGCAUUCGAGGCCGUCAGUGGUUCUCCUUGUCUUCAGGAGCACUUUCGAAAGGUCUUCAGAUGUUAGGCCUAUCAAGAAUAAUAUCUCAAUUAUCAAAGACCUUUGAGAAUUAAGACUUCAUCUAUAAUAGGAUCUCAAUAAUUGACCAUGGUAUGGAUUGCAACAACCUUUACUUGUAUGUCAUAUGAAUUGUCUGU
Lolium perenne is the source of this 1733-nucleotide non-coding RNA. Lineage: Eukaryota; Viridiplantae; Streptophyta; Magnoliopsida; Poales; Poaceae. The record is from RefSeq and is a predicted model, not a curated record.